UACGUAGGGCGCGAGCGUUGUCCGGAUUUAUUGGGCGUAAAGAGCUCGUAGGCGGCUCGUUGCGUCGGCUGUGAAAACCCGCAGCUCAACUGUGGGCUUGCAGCCGAUACGGGCGGGCUGGAGUUCGGUAGGGGAGACUGGAAUUCCUGGUGUAGCGGUGAAAUGCGCAGAUAUCAGGAGGAACACCAAUGGCGAAGGCAGCUCGCUGGGACGGUACUGACGCUGAGACGCGAAAGCGUGGGGAGCAAACAGG
This 253-nucleotide ribosomal RNA is filed under the name uncultured bacterium. RNAcentral describes it as "partial 16S ribosomal RNA". It matches the Rfam family "Bacterial small subunit ribosomal RNA", at positions 524 to 776 of the family's 1533-position model. The record is from RNAcentral.